This 370-nucleotide ribosomal RNA is filed under the name uncultured organism. Its description in RNAcentral is "bacterial SSU rRNA". It matches the Rfam family "Bacterial small subunit ribosomal RNA", at positions 526 to 896 of the family's 1533-position model. The record is from RNAcentral.
CGUAGGCAGCAAGCGUUGUUCGGAAUUACUGGGCGUAAAGAGUGUGUAGGUGGUGUCGUAAGUUUGGUGUGAAAUCUCCCGGCUUAACUGGGAGGGUGCGCCGAAGACUGCGAUGCUGGAGUAUGGGAGAGGAAAGCGGAAUUCCUGGUGUAGCGGUGAAAUGCGUAGAUAUCAGGAGGAACACCUGCGGUGUAGACGGCUUUCUGGACCAUUACUGACACUGAGACACGAAAGCGUGGGUAGCAAACAGGAUUAGAUACCCUGGUAGUCCACGCCCUAAACGAUGCAUACUUGGUGUGAGCCAUUCAGUUGGUUCGUGCCGGAGCUAACGCGUUAAGUAUGCCGCCUGGGGAGUACGGUCGCAAGGCUG